Molecule: ribosomal RNA, 438 nt
Filed under: uncultured bacterium
Lineage: Bacteria
Description: partial 16S ribosomal RNA
Rfam family: Bacterial small subunit ribosomal RNA
Source: RNAcentral
CUACGGGCGGCUGCAGUGAGGAAUAUUGCACAAUGGGGGGAACCCUGAUGCAGCAACGCCGCGUGGAGGAUGACGCAUUUCGGUGUGUAAACUCCUUUUAUAUGUCAAGAAAAUGACGGUAGCAUAUGAAUAAGCGCCGGCUAACUCCGUGCCAGCAGCCGCGGUAAUACGGAGGGUGCAAGCGUUACUCGGAAUCACUGGGCGUAAAGGACGCGUAGGCGGGUUGGAAAGUCAGGUGUGAAAUCCUGCAGCUUAACUGUAGAACUGCACUUGAAACUUCUAAUCUAGAGUAUGGGAGGGGGAGAUGGAAUUAGUGGUGUAGGGGUAAAAUCCGUAGAUAUCACUAGGAAUACCUAAAGCGAAGGCGAUCUCCUGGAACAUUACUGACGCUAAGGCGUGAAAGCGUGGGGAGCAAACAGGAUUAGAUACCUGGUAGUC